GGCGGUGGCGCGCCGUAGGCCGGCGGCGGGUAGGCCUCCUGCCCCGGCGGCGGGUACGCGGUGCCCGGUGGCGGGUAGCUCAUGGCCGACGCCGCGGUCUGAGUUCACAGAGACAGUAGAACCGCUGAAGCAGGAAGCUGGCAAGGCAGACUUGCUGAUGCCACAAGCCGCUCUCUGCUCUCGACUUUGUGAUGUUCUUCUAAUGGAGCAUUGCUCUUUAUAGCGACACCAAGAGGCAUACGCUCGUAGCACUCCUACUACUAUUUUCAGGAUUACUUAGGCGCGUAAUCCUAACACAUAUCCAGAUUUUCAAAGGGACGCCGGUCACAGGCGGUAGUGCAUCCAUGCACGGCGACGGCGGGUUUCAAUUGGUUUCUCGCCCUCCAAAACCGUCGUUGAAGGCGUCACUCGGAAGGAGAGACAUCG
This 426-nucleotide long non-coding RNA is filed under the name Hordeum vulgare. RNAcentral's name for it is "long non-coding RNA (HVUL_LNC005458)". The record is from RNAcentral. Lineage: Eukaryota; Viridiplantae; Streptophyta; Magnoliopsida; Poales; Poaceae.